RNAcentral lists this long non-coding RNA (9385 nucleotides) under Sus scrofa (pig). Its description in RNAcentral is "lncRNA (ENSSSCG00005032853.1)". The stretch from base 5840 to 5910 matches the Rfam family "mir-374 microRNA precursor family". Lineage: Eukaryota; Metazoa; Chordata; Mammalia; Artiodactyla; Suidae. The record is from RNAcentral.
UGAGAGUUUAUAGCAACUUUAUUUAUAAUGGCCUAAAAAUGGAAACAUCUCACAUGUCUAUCCAUUAAUGAAUGGAUAAACAAACUGGUAUAGCCAUACAAUGAAGUACAAAAAUAAAAAGGAAUGAAUAUUAAUUUACCUAAAAACAAUGUAGAUGAUACUUAAAUUCAUUUUACUAAGUGAAAGAAGCCAGAUCAAAAAGGUCUACAUAUUGCAUGAUUCCAUCCAUAUGACUUUCUGUAAAAGGCAAAAACCAUAGGGAUAGAUGACAAACAAGUAGUUUCCAGGGACUGAAGAUGGGGAAAGGGAUUUACAACAAAAAGUGCAAUCAAGAGAAAUUACUAGAGAUGAAACAGUUCUGUAUGGUACUAGAAUGGAAGAACACAUGACUCUAUACUUGUCAAACUAUAGAACUAUACACUGUAAGAGUGAAUUUUAGUGUAUGUAAAUUAGAAACAAUCUCUAAAACAAAUGGAAAUUUACCUAUCAAAUGAUCAGAGAUUUAUUAAAGGAAAGAGCAUGUUUUGAUGAAUGUGUGGAGAAAUAGCACAUUCAUGCACCACUGAUGGGAAUGUAAUUUGUGUGACUAUAUUCAGUAUAAUUUAACAGUACCUUUCAGGUGCCCUAAUAAUGCUCUCAUAAUUCAAACUCAGUAAUUCCAAUUCUAGGAAUUAAUUCUAAAGAAAUAGAGAUGCAUAUAAAGGUGAAUAUACAAUAUGUUCAUCAGAAUUUUAUAAACAAAAUUGGUAACAUCCAAAAUAUCUGCAUCAUGAGACGAUCUAAAUAAAUUUUGUUAGAUCCAUAUGAAAUGUGACACAAUAUUGUAUUUUUAAAUAAUGUUAAUGACAUGGAAGAAUGCUUAUUUUUAAAUGAGAAAAGUCAGAAAAUACAAUGUCAAUUUUAUUUUUAAACUGUGUUAUAUACACUUUUUUUAGAGUAAAAGGAAGCACAUUACUCUUUUAUACUUUUCACUUUAUUUUUAAAGAAUGAUCAUCUCUUACUUUUGUCAUCAAAAAGAAAACUUUUUUAUUUUGAAAAAACAAACAAGCCCAGCCCAGUGCAGCCAAUCCCAUGAUCUUUUCAGUUGCUAUCUUAACUCAGAAGGCUAUACUAUUGUCCCCCUGGAUGCUUGUUUUUUUCUUGCUCCUCCAGGUACUGGACUCAUUGCAGGUGAAUACCUGCCAAAGUGAGAGAAUGGCAGCAUCUCUCUUCGAACAGGAAACCACUUAAACUGGCCUAGUCAGCCACAGGCUGAUACUGGUAUCAAUCUCUAUGACCCAUGCAGGCAACAGAUGUCUUUAAAAGUUAUAAUGCCCAUCUUAUAUAAUUGGAAGUUUCUCCUCAAAUCUUUCUUCUUUCUAUGAAAUACAAUCUUUUAAAACCCUUCUCCAAAGCAGCUCUUCCUUUUAAUUUAAGAUAUUGCAUCACAAAUACUAGGUCCAAGGAUUGACCUUUUCCUUGAACUGUUUCCUUAUGCCAUAUCUGGUGUUUGGGGUUGCCUGAAGUCAUUCUGCCCACUGUCUCUGGCCCAAUCAUCCUAUUAAAAAGAAAAAAAAAAAAACAACCUGAGCUAUUUGGUACUACUUGAGCUAUUUCCUCUAUCCUCGACUCCUUUAACACCCUGUCACUGAACCAGAGUUCUUCAAUGUUGCAAAUGUUUUUCUGGGUUGUUUCUUUACGUGGGUCAACAGAAAUUUCCAUAAAGGCAGAUCUACCUGAGAAGAGUGGCUGGCAGUAACUCUCACGGGUAGGAAUAGAAAUAGUGCAGCACAACAACUUAUCUUCAAUCUACCUUUAAAAAUUACAGGUUUAUGAAGCAAGUCUCAGUGCUUCCUUCACUGAAGUAAUGGAUCUUAUGAUUUCUGUCAUUUUUUUCCUCCCCCUCACUCCAUUUUUAAUUGCAAUAAGGAGUUCACUCCUAUCUUCACUCACAAACAUCAGACCUCUCCAGGUUUGCUUCCUUCAAUCAUAUAGGCUUCUAGGUCCAAUACCCACUAAAACGUCAAGCAUUUGUUACUCCAAUAUUUCAUAGCUUCCUUCCCUUGCUCUCUGCCCUCCAUUCUUCUCAUAUCCAGAGAAACACGGUGUUACUCCUAGCACCCACCGAAGCUUCAUUCACAAUAAGGCUCCUCCCAGUUAGAGCCUGUAAUAGACUGAUGGCCUGGAGGAAAGAAAAAGAAAACACACCUGCUGAAACCCAUGGGGGGCGGUGCAGGAAAUGAAAAGUGGCUAGAGAGAGCAAGGAGUACACUAGAAGGAUUCUGAAAAAAAGAAGAGGCUAGACAUAGGACAAGGCACCAGAAGGUGUGACUGGGCUGUCCUGAGGAAUCAUGGGAAUGUAUUUGAAAGGUACUAACUUUUCACUUCCCUCGUGCCCUCUCUUGCCCAUCUCCAAGAGACAAAGAGUAACCAGGACUCCUGACACUGUUUACUAUUUAACCAUAAGAUUUGUGUCCUUAUAUACCAUAUUCCUAAGACAAAUCCUAAUCUCUGAUGACCAGGUUAGAAAGGGAUACAAGUCCUCCUACUGGCAUUUCAUAAUCAGCUGAGAUAUUAGGAAUAAAUCCUGGGGCUGGGGCCUGGUUGUUGGCCGUGGCUACAGCUGCUCCAGCGACUGUCAGGAGAUAAGGUAGGAGUUGGCAUCAGGCUGAUUAACAUGAGUAUUCCCCAACUGCAGAGGUAGUUAAUGACAAUUCAACCCAUUCAUGCCUCCCUGAGUCUUAAGAGAUGGAAAAGGAAGUGCUAAUGAAAAAGUGACACACAGUGGCAUACAGGGACCAGAGAAAUGCCAGUGGAAGGAGAAAGUCAUGGCUUUUGUUUGCUUUAAUCAGUGAUGGGACUGAAGGAAAAAGAAUUUGAAUGCAAAAAAAAGGAAAGAGGUUAUUUUCAAGUCAAUUAACUGCCUUCCUUCCAUAAAGUUGGGAUCUUAUGUUGAAACUCAAACUCAUCUCUGGUGGCCUAUAUUCCAGCACUGGGGAUCCAGCAAGUUCUGACUACAUGGGGUACUCUUUAUGGGAAGUGAUAGUUCAUAUAUACACAUACAAUACAACUUCUAAAAAGAGAAAGUUGCUGAGAGGGCUAAGCAUGCAAUUCAAAAGAGCAACCUGUGGUCUGGAGAGUAUUCAAGAGAGUGAUCCCUCUGUUGAGUAAUGCUUUGAAAAGCUGAGAUGAAGGAGGCUGUAGUCAUCCUCUGAUUUUUUCCUUUUCUUCUCUCCUUCAUGAAGUCUUCUACCAGCAACUCCUAAGGAACAAAUAUAGAGCAGCCCCACAAGAGGGAAUGGGCUAUCUGAGAGCCUGGUCUAUAGGCUCUAUAGCUUUUAGGAAUAUUGACUCAUUUAAAGACUACUGCAAAAGAAAAAUGGCUGCAAGCAAUAUCAGAGGGUUUACAGAGACUCUCUUCCUAAACUUCCAAGUCCUAACAGCCAUCUCUUUGCAUCAAUCCAGCCUUCCUUCCCAAAAGCACAGGGAACACCUAUAAUAUGGCAACCAAACUGGAAGUAUCCUGACCCUAAAUGGCUUUUACAAAGUGGUUUUGUUAUUCACCCAUUGAUGUGCACUAUCUUUUGCCUACUCUUUAUCUUGAAAACUCAUUUAGAUAAUAUGACUGUGUCUUGCUCCGAUUAAUCAGUGUGUAUUUUUAAAGUACUGUGCCUGUUUUUCCCAAAGGGCAGUAUUAGUUCACUUCUCAACUUAGAGACUCAGAAGCCAAAGCACAUUAUGAAACAGAGCCAACAAAAGCUUGUAUCACAUAAUGAAGUUACAUCAAGGUCAAGGAAAAAUUUCAAUCCUAAAGAAAUCUCUUUAUGAUACUUCCAGACGACCAGCCUGUUGCUCUUCCAGAGUUAGUAGAUGGCUAGAGGAUUCUACCAGUGCUGAGGGUCAGCAGCCUAGCUAUCCUUGCCUGGGAUUGUGGCUCAUUUUCGCACAAAAAAUGUGACCCCAAAGGGAUAAACAGAUGGCACACAGCAAGGUGUUUGGCAUAGAACAAGCACUUGAUAUAGGAGAGGAUCAUUUUAGUUGUGCAUUCUGCCAGCCAAAACUUCAGUAUAAUGUGCGAAGCACAGUUUCUGUAUCUUCUAAUAAUCCUCACCACUCUUUGAGACUUGUACUACUAUCCCACUACAUCCUCUCUUCUCUUGCAUCUGCAGAGUUGUCAUGUGCCAAUCUCCAGAUAGUUACUCAGUUACUAAAGCCUAUUUUAUCUAGCUCACAGUCUCAUUCCUAGCCCAGCUUUUACUAUAAUCCCAGGUCACUUCAAUAUCCAGGCAAAUGACCAUCUGACAUCCUAGUAUCACAAGUAUCUUGCUCUAGUUUUUAAAUUUUAACAUUCCAAAGUUCACUUUCUGAUACUGGUCCUAUCAUUCCAGUUUUCUAACUACUCAACAUCCAUCUUGAACACACUAAGGCCUCUUUUUCUGUACAGACUUUGAACUCACUUCUGAACUAACUUCCUUCCAUAUACACUCUGGAUCCUUAAUUCCAUUUCUGUGUAACACCUCUCUUCCUAGCUGUCCAUCCCUCAAUCGAGGUCAGUUCCAGGCAACCGAAUGUUAGUUGUGACAGUGGCCCAAGACCACUUUAUAUUUUCCUCUCUAAUCAACUUUCAAACUAGCUGCCCACUUCCAUAUGCCGUAAGUGCUCUGCUCCAGCCUUUUGGCCUGGAUAUUCCUUAGACUCUUUUGUCCACAGUCUGAUCCCUGGUCAGCUGCCUAUCCACCAUCCACCUCUACAAUUACAAAUCUGCAACACCUUUAUCAGGUACUCUUCCCAACUCCUAUUCUUAUCAUCACUAUACCUCAGUGAAGAGGUAACUCCUUUCAUCUAAGGAUAGGCCUCCACCUGUAUUCUAAGAGCGAUAGGUUAUCAUUUCUCUUCCACACGUACAAAGACAUGCCUUAUAGUCUGCAAGCAUGCUCAACUUUCUCUCAUUUUAAAAGGGAGCUUACAUGACUCACUGUAGGGCCCUGAAUGGAAUGGUUUAACUUGUAUUCUAGUUGUCACAUUUUCUAACAGAAAGAAGGCUUCUCAUGAAGCACUAAUGAUUAAUCACACUAAAUAAGAAAAAGGAAAUAUGAGCCUGUUGGGUGGUGAACAUAAACUGGAAGCCUACCUGUUAAUGUAGGUAAGGGGAUAGCUGAGGUAAAGUUGGAAGGGGAAAACUGUGAAUACCAGCCACAGGAACAAACCCCAGACUGUGAAGAUGAGGUUUCUGAUGAAUGAUCACUCUGGUCCUACGCAAGGAGCAACUGGCAGCAAUUGUAGUUGUAGUAACAGCAGCAGCGGCAGCAGCAAUGCAACAUCUACAAGUAGCCAAGACUAAAAUACAGGCACAGAAACAGAGUAUUUCACAGAAAACACAAUAUUAAAUAUGACACAUAUGUGGCACUUGUGCUGCUACUCCCCUUCUCCCACUCUCAGCAAACAUCACUAGUUAUAAUCCUCUUUCACACUGAUCUGAGACCUGGCUUCAGAAUCCUUUUCAUAAAACAUCAUCAAGACAGGUACUAUUAAUUGAUUGGAGAUGGUACUUCAGAUGAAGUAUAUCUGCUAUCUUUGCACUGCACAGAAAAGUCCUUGGCAAAAGAAGAUAGGAGUAAGCUUCAGGAGAAAGCAUACUGAAGACAGCUUGGAUGUUGUAGGCAACUGGAGGGGACAAGCCGAGCUCAUGGAGAUCACAGAGCAGGCGCCCAAUUAAUGUCUGUUGAUGAUUCAUUUUUUCAUUCAACAAACAUUUAAUGAGGCCUACAAUGUGCACCGGAUUUAGGCACUGCGAAUACAAAGAUGAAUAAUGCACUGUCCUUGCCCGUAACGAAUUUAGUCUGGUAGACGAGAGCCAUAGACACGGACAAUGAUAAUACAACCUGAUAAGUGCUAGGACACUUAGCAGGUUGUAUUAUAUCCAUCCGAGUAGGAUUUCUUCAGGUUGCUGUUGGAUCCAUGAAGUCCUCCCAGCCACAAGGGCAUGCUGUUGUUUCUGUCACGCGGUGGACGUCCCAAGAACUAACAAUGAUAGCUGUAAUUUAUAGUGUGCAUAUGACAUACACUUUACAAUAUCCUUAUGAAAACCCUGAAAAUUAAUUAUUGUAUUAGAGAAGAAACUGAGGUUCAAUGAGGUUAAGUAACAUGCCUUAGAUCACACAGCUAGUAAGUAGUUGAGUCAGGUUUCAAAUUCAGUUUUGACCAAUUCCAAAACAUUUUUCUACAUUUUUAAGAAUAAUUUCAAUUCAGUUCAGAUAUUACACAACUUUUCAAAAGCUUUCUAUUUGGAAAUAAGAGCAAAGGCAAUAAAUUAGUGAUCAGGGCAUGAACAAAAGCCAUCUGAUUAGCCAACCUAUUUGGCAGAGCAAACAAAAAAAGCGGCAGAGAAAUGACUUCACACCAUCAUGGCAUUGAAAACCUUAAGGUCAGAUUAGUUUUUCUUUCUUUUGCAAACCCAAACAUCCUCACUGAUGAUAUAAAAUAUAAGUAUCUCUAGUUAAAUAUCUUUUAAUCCUUGUCAAGAUCAACAUCAUUAUCAGCAGCAACUACAGUUCAUAUAGCACUUAGUAAAUUCCAAGCAAUUUACACAAAUAAUCCCAUUAAAUUUUUACAUUCUCACCCCCCUCAUCACUGCAAAAAGAUAUUAAUUCUGUUGUACAUAAAAAAAAAUAAAGUACUAGAGAGGUGGAAAACCAUUCUCAAAACCACAUUGUUAAGUGUGAGACUAGAUUUGAGUCCAAGAUACCUAGUCUCAAUGCCCAAACUGUCAUUGUACUGCUUUGCUGUCCUGCUCAGGGUUUCUCCUCCCAACCCUUCUUUCCCCUACUGUUCUCCAGAAUAGCUAGUUACAUAAUAUCCACUGAAAAUACACAAGGUCUACUUAAAUAUAAUCUCCUAUUUAUCACUCUACUUACAGAAAGCCAUUCUCUGAAUCCCCAAGGUCACUACUCUGAGCCUUAAGGGGAGUUUCCCAAAUACUGUGUUUUUAUUGAGAAAAGAGAAAAUAAACACUUAAUAUGUUUAGAUUUUUACUUACUGAAUGUAUUUUUUUACCAAGUGAUUAAACCAUAAGCAUUUAAAAAUCUUUAAGCAAAAUAAAGCAAUAGAGACAAUAACAACUAAGGCAAUCUCUUCCCUGAGUGGGUUUUAGAUACAAGUUUCCACUUUUGUUAAAAAAUAUUGUGGGAGAUAUGUGACAGUGAGGGUGUGAGAAUAGUUCUGCUACUGAUGAGAAGGACCAGGAACUUAGUAAUCGAUGAGAAGUUUGUGGCUGUUCGGAUGUCUUCCUGAGUGUCAACAAUUCAUAUAUGCCUGCCCCCAACCCCCAUCCCCAAGAAACUUACGAAACUGUGCAGCCAAGCCCUGGUCUAGAAGGAACCAAUAACAAUACCCAUCUAAAGAACAUGAGAGGAUUUUUCAUGAAGGCCAAGGGCGGGGUUAGGGGGAUGCACACUUGCCAACGUCUGAAAUUGUUAAUUUUCCCAUGUUCUAAUUAUGUCAGUGUUUUGCUUUUUUUUCUUUUUAGGGCCGCACCUGCGGCAUAUGGAAGUUCCCAGGCUAGGGGUUGAAUCGGAGCUGCAGCUGCCAGCCUCCGCACAGUCACAGCAACUUGGGAUCCAAGCUGCAUCUGCCACCUACACCACAGCUCACAGCAACGCCCGAUCCUUAACCUGCUGACCAAGACCAAGGAUCGAACCCACAUUAUCAUGGAUACUAGUCAGGAUCAUUACUGCUGACGCCACAACGGGAACUUCUAUAUCCAUGUUUUGUAUAACCCCUUAUUUAAAAGGUUAUUCCUUCUUCAUUCCCACUUAUUCUGGCUAAGAUGAUCAUUUAUCAUCUAACUGAUCUCCCUAUCCAAAUUUGAAAAUUUUCCAUAACUUACUCCAUACUACUGUCAGAGUGACCAUCAAAAGCAUCCCCUUUUUAAAACACUCAAAAUGAAAUCCAAAUUUCACAGCAUACUAUAUAAGGAUUUAUUCUCAGCCCACAUUUCCAACCUAAUGUCAUAAACUACUUGUAGUCCCUCAAUUUAUCAUUCCAUUUCUAAUGUUCAUAUCUUUGCUUAGAAGGUACUUCCUCUGUUUUCUGCCUAUUUGACCUUUACUUUUUAAAAUAAUCAACUUAAGCAUCAGUUCCUCCAACCUCUGCAUCUCCAGAUUCAGUCAAAUGAUUUCUCUUCUGAACCCCAGAGUAUCUUGUACAUACCUCCAUUGUAGAGCAUACCAUACUGUAAUUAUCUGUGUACAAGUCGAACUCUCUCACUAGACUGAGAACUCCUUGAGGGCAGAAACUGUGUCUAAUUCAUCUCCAUAUCCCCAUCACCCAGCACAGUGCCUGGCAGCUCAAAAGGCAGCAGAGAAGCUGAAGAUGCAAGAGAGAGCACAAUAAAGCAAUAUUCUUGAAUUGGGGUAUAAUACAGAUAUGAUGAAUGAAUUGAAGUUGUAGGAAAAUAUAUUUCAAGCUCAUUAUGCAAGGAGCUCUUGAAAGAAGAGACAAGCUAUCUCAGGAAGGAGUUCCCCAUCACUACAUGCAAUUACUCAGUGGCUAAAAGACCAUCUGUUGGGUAUAUUAUGAAAGGAGUUGAAUUAGGGUCAAAUUAAAAUAAGCUGUUUCGGAUGUGAGAUUUUUAAGGUCUUUCUAUCCUUGAGGUUCUAAAUGUACAAUCUAGGCUAUAAUCAAGAGAGCUAUUUCUCUGAGCCCAUGUCACAGACAGGGGUUGUGGACAAGUGCUGAGACCGCAUCUUAUUCCCAUCCAAAGUAGACCAAUUGUGGGAUGGACUGGGAGUUUGCAGUUAGUAGAUGCAAACUAUUACAUUUAGAAUGGAUAAACAAUAAGGUCCUACUGUAUAGCACAGGGAACUAUAUCCAAUCUCCUGGAAUAGACCAUGAUGGAAAAUAACAUAAAAAAAGAAUGUAAAUAUGUAUGACUGAGUCACUUUGCUGUACAGCAGAAAUUGGCGCAACACUGUAAAUCAACUAUACUUAAAGAAAAAAAAACACACAAAAAAAUAAAAAACAAAGUAGACCAAUUAUACAACAUAACUCAUUUUCCAGUGGCCUGCUUCCCAGGUGACCCUUGAACCUGGAGCAGGAAAUACUUUAAGUACUUCAAAGGCCACCAGGUAGAACCUCACAAUCCAAAAUAUCUUCCACAGGAGUUCCCGUUGUGGCUCAGCACUAAUGAACCUGACUAGUAUUUAUAAGAAUGCAGGUUCGACUCCUGGCCUUGCUCAGUGGGUUAAGGAUCUGGCAUUUCUGUGAGCUGUGGUGUAGGUCGAAGAUGCGGCUUGGAUCUGAUGUGGCUGUGGCAUAAGCCAGCAGCUAUAGCUCUGAUCUGACCCCUAGCCUGGCAACUUCCAUAUGCUGUGGGUGUGGCCCUAAAAAGACAAAAAAAAAAAAAAAA